GUCCUUUGUUUAAAUUGCACAUAGACCAAGGUGAGCGACACAGGCUCUUAAGAGCCUCUAGUUUCUAUGAGUUAUGCCCCUUUGAACUUAUUUGCCUCAAUAUACUACUGCAAUUUUUUUAUAACAACUCCUCUAAAACCACACAACAGAAUAUCAUGAAACUCUAGAAAAAAACAAUUGAAUCAUAAUUUCCUGAUAAUAUGC
RNAcentral lists this long non-coding RNA (204 nucleotides) under Mytilus galloprovincialis (Mediterranean mussel). Lineage: Eukaryota; Metazoa; Mollusca; Bivalvia; Mytilida; Mytilidae. The record is from RNAcentral.